This 422-nucleotide ribosomal RNA is filed under the name uncultured bacterium. RNAcentral's name for it is "bacterial SSU rRNA". It matches the Rfam family "Bacterial small subunit ribosomal RNA", at positions 355 to 776 of the family's 1533-position model. The record is from RNAcentral.
UGGGGAAUAUUGCGCAAUGGAGGAAACUCUGACGCAGCAACGCCGCGUGGGUGAAGAAGGUCUUCGGAUUGUAAAGCCCUGUCGGGAGGGAAGAAAAGCACAUGGUGAAUGUGUCUGACGGUACCUUCGAAGGAAGCACUGGCUAACUCCGUGCCAGCAGCCGCGGUAAUACGGAGAGUGCAAACGUUGUUCGGAAUUAUUGGGCGUAAAGGGCGCGUAGGCGGCUCGGUAAGUCAGAUGUGAAAGCCCGGGGCUCAACCCUGGAAGUGCGUUUGAAACUGCUGAGCUUGAGUGCAGGAGGGAGAGGUGGAAUUCCAGGUGUAGGAGUGAAAUCCGUAGAUAUCUGGAGGAACACCGGUGGCGAAGGCGACCUCUUGGCCUGAUACUGACGCUGAGGCGCGAAGGCGUGGGGAGCAAACAGG